AUGUCCUUUAAGUUAGUCCCGUGAGGCUAGUAAGGAGCGGUUAAAUAUUACUUAGCAUGACUAGGUUUUUAUCUCGCAACCCCUAGACUACACGGAUGGUGUAGCUAGGGGUUUUCUUA
The sequence is a regulatory RNA element, 119 nucleotides long. It matches the Rfam family "PyrR binding site". From Rfam's summary of the family: This family represents the PyrR binding site and terminator structure. The record is from Rfam.